UUAGCAAUGAUGAUUGGCGCAGGGGUACUGACCUCAGCUGGAUCAUGGGAGCUGAAAGCAUUGCUGGGUCAGGAUAGCUGACGUGUGGUUGACUGCCUGACAACAGCCUGCAUGAAACGGUCGCCAAACUGAGCUAC
This is a small nucleolar RNA of Bombina bombina (fire-bellied toad), 137 nucleotides long. RefSeq annotates it as small nucleolar RNA SNORD94. The record is from RefSeq and is a predicted model, not a curated record. The transcript has a single exon. NCBI's taxonomy places the organism in Eukaryota, Metazoa, Chordata, Amphibia, Anura, Bombinatoridae.